UUUCCGGUUUGCAACAGCACGGCCUUCCCUGCAGUAAAUCCGCACUGGCAACCCCAUGCACCUGCGACGAAUAUAAAAAGGCGGAUCUUCGCAACGGCAGCAACACCGCCCACGCCUCCGUCAGCUAGCUCGUCACACGCCCGUCGCCGUUGCAAUGAUUAACCUUCGCCUCGCCGUGAUGAUGGCCAUGUGCCUUGCUCUUUGCACUUCGCAUAGACUAAGUUGCAAGUAUUACUGUCCUGGCCCCUACGCUGACCAAUAUGCCUGCUGUGACCCGUCGCCGCGCCCUGGGAGCUGCCCGUCCCCGCCCCGUUGCACAGACUUCUUCGACGGAAAUGUUCCUGUGAGUGACAACUGCGGGUAGUUUAUCUACCUGUCU
Molecule: long non-coding RNA, 379 nt
Filed under: Penaeus japonicus
Lineage: Eukaryota; Metazoa; Arthropoda; Malacostraca; Decapoda; Penaeidae
Description: uncharacterized LOC122267034
Source: RNAcentral